GUGCUGCUCACUUUGGCAGCACAUAUACUAAAGCUGGAGCAAUACAGAUGAGAUUAGCAUGCCCCCUGCUUAGGAUGACAUGCAAAUCUGUGACGCAUUCCAUAUUUUU
Molecule: small nuclear RNA, 109 nt
Filed under: Saimiri boliviensis boliviensis (Bolivian squirrel monkey)
Lineage: Eukaryota; Metazoa; Chordata; Mammalia; Primates; Cebidae
Source: RNAcentral